AAUCAACGCUGGCGGCGUGCCUCAGACAUGCAAGUCGAACGAUUAAACUUUCCUUCGGGAAAGAUAUAAAGUGGCGCACGGGUGAGUAACACGUAGGUAAUGUACCUUUGGGUGGGAAGUAACCAUCGGAAACGAUGGCUAAUACCGCAUAAUGCAGCGGCAUCGCAAGAUGACAGUUAGUUAAAGAUUUAUCGCCUAAAGAGCAGCCUGCGGCAGAUUAGGAG
This 224-nucleotide ribosomal RNA is filed under the name uncultured bacterium. Its description in RNAcentral is "partial 16S ribosomal RNA". It matches the Rfam family "Bacterial small subunit ribosomal RNA", at positions 32 to 247 of the family's 1533-position model. The record is from RNAcentral.